RNAcentral lists this ribosomal RNA (207 nucleotides) under uncultured bacterium. RNAcentral describes it as "partial 16S ribosomal RNA". It matches the Rfam family "Bacterial small subunit ribosomal RNA", at positions 568 to 774 of the family's 1533-position model. The record is from RNAcentral.
UGCGUAGGUGGUGAGGUAAGUCGGAUGUGAAAGCUCGGAGCUCAACUCCGAAAUGGCAUUGGAAACUACCUUGCUCGAGGGUUGGAGGGGGGACUGGAAUGCUUGGUGUAGCAGUGAAAUGCGUAGAUAUCAAGCGGAACACCAGUGGCGAAGGUGAGUCCCUGGACAACUCCUGACACUGAGGCACGAAAGCUAGGGGAGCAAACA